CAGUCGCCACGGUAAUACGUAGGGUGCGAGCGUUAAUCGGAAUUACUGGGCGUAAAGCGUGCGUAGGCGGUGAGUUAAGUCUGCUGUGAAAUCCCCGGGCUCAACCUGGGAAUGGCAGUGGAUACUGGCUCGCUAGAGUGUGUCAGAGGAUGGUGGAAUUCCCGGUGUAGCGGUGAAAUGCGUAGAGAUCGGGAGGAACAUCAGUGGCGAAGGCGGCCAUCUGGGACAACACUGACGCUGAGGCACGAAAGCGUGGGGAGCAAACAGGAUUAGAUACCCGCGUAGUCCCUGUCUCUUAUAC
Molecule: ribosomal RNA, 301 nt
Filed under: uncultured bacterium
Lineage: Bacteria
Description: partial 16S ribosomal RNA
Rfam family: Bacterial small subunit ribosomal RNA
Source: RNAcentral